AAGAGCUUCCACAUUCUGGAGGCCUGAGUUCUAGUUCUGCUUUUGACUACCCGCGGCAAUGUGGACAGGGCAGCGUUACAAGGUUGUGGCUAUGGCUACGUGAAGAGCAGAUCACUCCAUGCCUGGAGGAUUAUUGUCAGGAGCACUAUUUUGGCCGACAAAACAGGCACGUGGAUCAAGCCAGACAGGGACAAAUUUGAAGGACUCACCAGCUUACGGGACUUAUUUCAGCUACUCUAAAAGGAGGAUCAGUUGCUAGAAACUUAAGUAAUAUCAGAUGAAAGUCUAAGUGUAGUUACCCUUUGACUCAGGAACUUCCCUUCUGGGAAAUCCCAGCAUAUGCUCAUAAACAUAGACCUACAAGGUGAAAACCAGCCAACAGCCUACUGUGUUCACGGAAGAGGGAUAUGAUCCGUCAACACAAUGCAACGCUGUGCAGAGGGUGAAAGGGUGGGGUAGGUCUUGAUUCACCCACAUGGAGAGAGGUGGAGAAUACAAUGUGUAUAGAAAUGAAAGGAAAUCAUGGACACACACAGAUAUCCAUCCACAAAUACACACAUCAAAAUGCCUCUCGGGAAGCCUGGAAGGCUUAGUUACCAACUUCUUGCCGCUCCCCGAAGAGGCCGCAGAUGCUUUGGCUUCCCUACUUUUCCUAUUUGCCAGUUUCGUCUGCCUGAAAUAGUCAUCUUUCGCACCUGUGAGAGCCCGCCCCUCCCUCAGAGCGCAGGUCAACCACGGAUUCCACGGGGGCACUUCACGUUUCCCUCUGGGCCUGCUCUGAGCCUGACAGCAUGCCGAAUUGAAACCAUUACCUAAAAACAUUGCCAGAAAGAACAACGGCGGAAGCUCUGAGCCCCCGUUGCCCCAAAGGCGACCUCCCAAGCCAUGCUUUUGUGACUCUCCGUGUCUUAGGAGGUGUGCUGUCGGAGGAAAGAAAAAAGUCGCGCGAAGGGAGAAAACUGGGUAGAAUUUGCUUGAGACAAAAAUCCAGAGGCAUUGACGUCGAGAAGCCCCUCCCCAAUCCGGACAGCAGGUGGCGCAAGCGACCAAGAUUUCUUCAACCACCACCGAAGGAGGCCGCAAGGUAAAGCUUUUGGAAAGUCUGGGAAGGUGGGAGUAUUAUCCUGAGCCUCUCUUUCCCCCGCCCGACUGGGGCACAAGACAUAAAGACAGAUAUCAUUGGUCUCCUCUAGGAUUUCAGCUCCUAGAUGUCUGGCUUUCCCACCUCUGGGUUCGACCCUCUUCCGUCCACCCUCACUGUGGCCCUAUUUUGUUCUUUGAAAACCCAUUCUUUGCUGGCGGACGUGAGCAUUUCCAUUUUCACCAGUGGCUGUGAAUAUUAGUAAAACCCUUAGGAAGGGCACUUUGGCAGUGCCUAUGAAAAGGAGAACCCUGAGCCUAGAGGAGACAAGCAAUGACUCAAGAGUUACUUAAAAAGAGUUCUCUGCAAUCAUGGUUGGGAUAUUUAUCAUUGCUUGAAGUUCCUCUUCUGGAGGCAAGUCGAUUAUUUUAAAGGUAGAUGAGGAAAUGAACAAGUUACUGAUAUCAUGCUUAAUUUAUAUCUGAAUUAGGAUGAGGUAGUUAUUUGGGUAAGCUUGGCAGUUAUUGUCAUAACUUUGUGUAAUGGAUUUAUUGAUGGAAAAAUGUUGGCAUGGAAGAACGUAAUAGCUAGAUGGGCUAAUUGAAUGCCAUACUGUUGCCGAGGAGGGUGGUUAUUUUGUUAUUGUGCAAAAUGUGUUUAUUCUUUCAACGAACAUGUAUUAAGCACUUAGUGUUUAUGCAAAAAUACCUGUGGAGUGACUACCACCUGCCGGGCACGGUGUCAGGUGCUAGGAAUAAGAUACGCAACACACUCUCUGCCCUUGUGGAGCUUAAAUGAGAAACAAAUACAUAUGCGGCAAGUGGUUAUAACUGCUAUGCAAAAGAAUAAGGCUAUAAAACGGGGUGUUGUAUGGAAACCAAUUUGACAAUAAAUUUCAUAUAUUGAAAAAAAAAGAAAAAAAA
Molecule: long non-coding RNA, 2004 nt
Filed under: Felis catus (domestic cat)
Lineage: Eukaryota; Metazoa; Chordata; Mammalia; Carnivora; Felidae
Description: lncRNA (ENSFCAG00000053639.1)
Source: RNAcentral